AUGCUUAACACAUGCAAGUCGAACGGUAACAUUUCUAGCUUGCUAGAAGAUGACGAGUGGCGGACGGGUGAGUAAUGCUUGGGAACUUGCCUUUGCGAGGGGGAUAACAGUUGGAAACGACUGCUAAUACCGCAUAAUGUCUUCGGACCAAACGGGGCUUAGGCUCCGGCGCAAAGAGAGGCCCAAGUGAGAUUAGCUAGUUGGUAAGGUAACGGCUUACCAAGGCGACGAUCUCUAGCUGUUCUGAGAGGAAGAUCAGCCACACUGGGACUGAGACACGGCCCAGACUCCUACGGGAGGCAGCAGUGGGGAAUAUUGCACAAUGGGGGAAACCCUGAUGCAGCCAUGCCGCGUGUGUGAAGAAGGCCUUCGGGUUGUAAAGCACUUUCAGUUGUGAGGAAAAGUUAGUAGUUAAUACCUGCUAGCCGUGACGUUAACAACAGAAGAAGCACCGGCUAACUCCGUGCCAGCAGCCGCGGUAAUACGGAGGGUGCGAGCGUUAAUCGGAAUUACUGGGCGUAAAGCGCACGCAGGCGGUUUGUUAAGCUAGAUGUGAAAGCCCCGGGCUCAACCUGGGAUGGUCAUUUAGAACUGGCAGACUAGAGUCUUGGAGAGGGGAGUGGAAUUCCAGGUGUAGCGGUGAAAUGCGUAGAUAUCUGAAGGAACACCAGUGG
This 674-nucleotide ribosomal RNA is filed under the name uncultured bacterium. RNAcentral's name for it is "bacterial SSU rRNA". It matches the Rfam family "Bacterial small subunit ribosomal RNA", at positions 44 to 715 of the family's 1533-position model. The record is from RNAcentral.